GAGGGAAAGGCGAAAAGAACCCCGGCGAGGGGAGUGAAAAAGAACCUGAAACCGUGUACGUACAAGCAGUGGGAGCCUCUUAAUGGGGUGACUGCGUACCUUUUGUAUAAUGGGUCAGCGACUUAUAUUCUGUAGCAAGGUUAACCGAAUAGGGGAGCCGAAGGGAAACCGAGUCUUAACUGGGCGUUAAGUUGCAGGGUAUAGACCCGAAACCCGGUGAUCUAGCCAUGGGCAGGUUGAAGGUUGGGUAACACUAACUGGAGGACCGAACCGACUAAUGUUGAAAAAUUAGCGGAUGACUUGUGGCUGGGGGUGAAAGGCCAAUCAAACCGGGAGAUAGCUGGUUCUCCCCGAAAGCUAUUUAGGUAGCGCCUCGUGAAUUCAUCUCCGGGGGUAGAGCACUGUUUCGGCAAGGGGGUCAUCCCGACUUACCAACCCGAUGCAAACUGCGAAUACCGGAGAAUGUUAUCACGGGAGACACACGGCGGGUGCUAACGUCCGUCGUGAAGAGGGAAACAACCCAGACCGCCAGCUAAGGUCCCAAAGUCAUGGUUAAGUGGGAAACGAUGUGGGAAGGCCCAGACAGCCAGGAUGUUGGCUUAGAAGCAGCCAUCAUUUAAAGAAAGCGUAAUAGCUCACUGGUCGAGUCGGCCUGCGCGGAAGAUGUAACGGGGCUAAACCAUGCACCGAAGCUGCGGCAGCGACACUAUGUGUUGUUGGGUAGGGGAGCG
Molecule: ribosomal RNA, 731 nt
Filed under: Escherichia coli
Lineage: Bacteria; Pseudomonadati; Pseudomonadota; Gammaproteobacteria; Enterobacterales; Enterobacteriaceae
Description: partial 23S ribosomal RNA
Rfam family: Bacterial large subunit ribosomal RNA
Source: RNAcentral